UAUUAACAUUAAAAUUUAGGUGCUUAAAAGUGCCUCUUAUUACUGCUACGUCAUCACCCCAAGUUGCACGAUAAAGACACUGCAUAUGCACUCACCUUGCUGUCGCUGUCCUGGCCAAUUCAUUUGGCAGGAGUGAGACACUGACUGCUGCAACUCGCCGACACUUUGACAUCUCAAGGUCCCGGCCAGGCCAGCAGAACGUGGUCCGUCUACCUUUGCACGGGGGUAGGUGUGGGUCCACUGACAUUACCAUGAAACCAGGAGAACAAAGCAAAACAAAACAAACAAAGGCUUCUGCUUUGCAAUGUUUGUUAAUAUAAAGCUGUGUUGACACACUUUUUAAUCUGUCAGCAGACCAACCCUGGAAGGUAGCCCAUUUUGUUGGUGUGUUGACUUGUUUUUGUUCACCGAGAUGGGAAUAUUCAUUUAUUGGAAGGGAUGCGUAUCGGGACAGCUCUGAAAAGGAAGCGGUAAUGCGGGGCCCUGCCGUGCACCAUCGCGGACAGGAGGGAGGAAGGAAGCAGUGGGGAGGUAGGCACCAUUGACCUCUCGUGGCCUGACCCGCUGAAGGUGGCAGUAUCUUGUGUUGACUUACGGUGUGGAAACUGUCCUCACCAUAUACCCCUGCAGGUAGAAGGGCACUCGAAAGAUCAUCCUGUUCUGUCCUGUGUACUCAGAACCUGUCCUGGUCAGUUUCUUGUCUCUACCUGAAGGCUGAUGGUCUUUAAGUUCCAAUUUCCCUCUCCUGGUGGACUGUGUCCAGACAGCUUUCGCUCACAGAGCAGACGUUCUCCGGGUGAUCACCACCUCACAUGUGCCUCCUCUGCUAGACUGUAAGCUCCAUGUGGGCAGGAGCUGUGCUUCCACAUCUAGGCUGUAGCAUCAUGCCUGGCGCAUAAAAGGUAUUCAGAAACAUGUUGUGCAAUUAGAUAAAAAGUUCACCUAUGUACUGACCAAGGAGUGUGUCAAGACUAGCAGAAAACUGCAAUGCACGGCAUGUUCUCUUUCUCCCAUCCCUCUGCUUUCCAAUCUGGGGACACUAGGGGUACUUGUGAGCAGCCUGGUCAUAGCUCUGGGAUACGUAGUUAGGAGUCUAGACACUUCCUCUAUUGGUCCAAGUUUUAAGAGUUGAUAUGAACAGGGUAAAGAGCUUAGGGCUAUGGCAUUCUCAAAGCUAUGAGUUCUUGGAAUGUGUAAGUAACGGGUAAUUGGCAACUUUUCCAGCCCAACAGACUUCUUCCCAUAUAAAGUAUAUUUCCACAGAGAGUGUUUUGUUGUUGUUGAUCAUGCCCGGGCAGUACUUAAAUCUCCACAGAAACCCCAGAGGAGGCCCUAAACCUUAUCUGUACCUGUUGUUCCCUUGACCUCCCACAUCUGGUUCUGUUCUAAAUUUCCACAAGUUUCCAAACGUCUGAGCAAGAGAUCAUGGCAGACAUUGUAGAUGUCUUGGCAAGUGUCUGGUUCUCCAUGGGUACUGAGUCCCUGACAGAGGUUUUCUAGAAAAAUGAUGUGCUCCUUAUCUAUUUGCUAAUUCCUUCCACAUAUCACAAGACUUUUCUGUAAAUUCCCAUCAGUCUUGACAAAGUUAUCUUGUAGACUUAUGUAGUGAUUUUGAUGGCUGCACAGAGCUGUUUGUCUUGUUCAGCACGAAAUUAAUAACACCACGAUGGCACCUACUUUAGCACCAAACUUCUUAAACUCUCCUAAUAUACUAAUCAGCAUGUCAGGGAAAUAUUUUUUUUCUGGAUAAAGACAAGCCUGGUGAAAUGGAUUAGACAUUCACACGGCAUUGCAUAAUUCAGCAUGCCAGGGCGGUGCAUACGAUUUGCAUUAAUAGCCAGCGCUGGAAGCUGCUGCUCAUAGGUUUCUCUCAUUAGGUCGAAUAUCGAAGAUUCCAGACUGUCAAUCAAUUACAGUAAUUUCCUUUUCCAUAUUUAUUCCAUCACUAUCAUUGACAGCUACCAUUAAGUGACAUUAAUACAAUACAAUAUCAUCUCGCAUUUCUACAGAGCGUCUCAGGGUGCCUAACGGUUCCACUCCAGCCAAGAAAUCACAUUACCAAGGACAAAGUACCCUCAUUCUCGAGGUGGAAAAUAGGCUGCCAACUCUUGGAACCAGUGGGAGUUGCCCAGAAUCUCUGGAGAUGCUCUUGACUUCCGGGCAAGGGGGUUUAUUUUUUUGUUGUCUGAAAAUACCCGAGGCUGGGUCUCUGGCGAAUGGGGCGGCUUAAUGGGUAGUGAUGACUUUCCAGGGACCCCACUCACCUACAUCCCCUGCCUCUUCUCACCCUUGACUUAGGACGUGUUUACAGGGCAGAGGGGGCCCUUGUGGAAGAAUGUGGUUCUUCCUUAGAAGGGCUGCAGUUACCAUAUGCUACUCUCUUGCAGGGCUUUCUUCCUCCAUACCCGCCCCCCCACCCCGCCCAACCACCGACAAUACCAUCGGCACUUUGACUCAGAAUGCAACAAAGCCCUCCUUUGCCAGACAAAUUAUUCAUAUAUGCUAAGAUGCCAGCGUUGGUAUAUCCUCCCUUCUCCUUCUGUCGCUUCUGUAGUCAGUGAUAAUCUGGAUUGUGCUACACAGAAGCCAUCUCUGUUGCCCAAGUGUCACCAACUGAAUCUACAGAAUAUUCCUUUGCUCGGUUUUGGGUGACAGGAGGGCUUCCAGAUAAAUUAUAGAAUGCCCAAGUUAUAUUUGAAUUUCAGAUACACGAUAAUUUUUUUUAGUAUAAAUAUGCUCCAAAUACCGCGUAGAACAUGCAAAGAUGUUCAUCAUUUCUCUGAAAUGCAAAUUUAACUGAGCAUCCUGUUUUGUUUUGUUUUGUUUUGUUUUGUUUCGUUUCAUUUCCAAAUCUGGCAACCCCACCCAUCAGGUGAGUCAAAGGCUUCAGAACCAAGCCAAUCAAGCUACUGAAAUCCUAGGAGAAGUCAAAUCAAGACAGCACAUCUACAUUGAGCUGAAGUAUUUGCAAAGUGCCGUGCUCACAGCUGUGGGAGAUGCAACACCGUGUCAGAUCUGGCGAGAAAAUAGAACAGGAGAGGAAUGGCCACAGGCCAGAGAGAGACUACGGUACGAGUGUAAAAAGUUUGGCUCAAGAACUAUGGAAAAGCAAAAUAGUAGGAAGGAUGUUUCUAGUGGUUCUCUUCAUCCAUAACCUUUUGUGAUGGCUUCUUGCAAAGUGCGGCUUCUGCUCCACAGCUCGGGAGGAGGCUGGCGAGACCGGAGAAGAACAUUCUCUGACACGCAAGGAGGCUUGUGGGCACAGCACCUGCCUUAGUCUUUUAUUGCUGAGGCCCAAGGAUGGCAACAGGACCUCUUGUGGUUUCCCGACGCCCUGCCUACACCUUUGAACAUAACCCCAUCGUCAACUCUUCUUGAAUUACCCAUCUCAGUGUUUCUUGCCUGCACCAUGACUGAUACAGCCGGGCUGUAAACACGUCACUGACUCUACCUUGCCCACAGGAGGAAGCAACAUCCCACAGGAGGGGGGCAAGAUUCCACCCUUGCCACAUCUUGAGACACGCUUUCCGCACGCUGGCGGACAUGUGGUUUCCUGAACGCAAGGUGUUCUUUUUCUUCUUGGAGAUUCUGUAACUGAUGAUUUCUUUCCUGGCUUAGCUGCCUGGACAGUGUCUUUUCUUCCUUCAAGACUGUUCAGGGAUCACCUGUUGAUUUUUUUCUGACUUUCCUAGGCAGGAUGGGCUGCUUCCUCUUCUAUGCUCCCUUAUCACAUUAUACGCAUGCCCAUUAAAGCUCUUUUCGUUGCUGCGAGUUUUUGUUCCUAUGUCUGCUUUCCAACCAGUCUUGGAAUCCUCUGAGUGUAUUCUGUUUUCCUUUGUUCUCCGAGUACCUGCUGUUGUCCCUGGUGGGCUUAAUAAACAUAUUUUGAAUGACUA
Long non-coding RNA from Acinonyx jubatus (cheetah), 3896 nucleotides. RefSeq lists it as uncharacterized. The transcript has 3 exons. The record is from RefSeq and is a predicted model, not a curated record. Lineage: Eukaryota; Metazoa; Chordata; Mammalia; Carnivora; Felidae.